This 253-nucleotide ribosomal RNA is filed under the name uncultured bacterium. RNAcentral's name for it is "partial 16S ribosomal RNA". It matches the Rfam family "Bacterial small subunit ribosomal RNA", at positions 524 to 776 of the family's 1533-position model. The record is from RNAcentral.
UACAGGGGUCUCAAGCGUUGUUCGGAUUCAUUGGGCGUAAAGGGUGCGUAGGUGGCGCCGUAAGUCGGGUGUGAAAUUUCGGAGCUUAACUCCGAAACUGCAUUCGAUACUGCGGUGCUUGAGGACUGGAGAGGAGACUGGAAUUCAUGGUGUAGCAGUGAAAUGCGUAGAGAUCAUGAGGAAGACCAGUGGCGAAGGCGGAUCUCUGGACAGUUCCUGACGCUGAGGCGCGAAGGCCAGGGGAGCAAACGGG